Molecule: ribosomal RNA, 468 nt
Filed under: uncultured bacterium
Lineage: Bacteria
Description: partial 16S ribosomal RNA
Rfam family: Bacterial small subunit ribosomal RNA
Source: RNAcentral
GACGAACGCUGGCGGCGUGCUUAACACAUGCAAGUCGAACGGAAAGGCCCUGCUUUUGUGGUGUGCUCGAGUGGCGAACGGGUGAGUAACACGGGAGUAACCUGCCCUUGACUGUGGGAUAACUUCAGGAAACUGGGGCUAAUACCGGAUAGGAGCUCCUGCUGCAUGGUGGGGGUUGGAAAGUUUCGGCGGUUGGGGAUGGACUCGCGGCUUAUCAGCUUGUUGGUGGGGUAGUGGCUUACCAAGGCUUUGACGGGUAGCCGGCCUGAGAGGGUGACCGGCCACGUUGGGACUGGGAUACGGCCCGGACUCCUACGGGGGGCAGCAGUGGGAAAUAUUGCACAAUGGGCGGAAGCCUGAUGAAGCAACGCCGCGGGCGGGAUGACGGCCUUCGGGUUGUAAACCGCUUUCGCAUGUGACGAAGCGUGAGUGACGGUAAUGGGUAAAGAAGCACCGGCUAACUACGUG